This 253-nucleotide ribosomal RNA is filed under the name uncultured bacterium. RNAcentral describes it as "partial 16S ribosomal RNA". It matches the Rfam family "Bacterial small subunit ribosomal RNA", at positions 524 to 776 of the family's 1533-position model. The record is from RNAcentral.
CACGUAGGGCGCGAGCGUUGUCCGGAAUUAUUGGGCGUAAAGAGCUCGUAGGCGGGCUGUUGCGUCCGCUGUGAAAGCCCGGGGCUUAACCCCGGGUCGGCAGUGGAUACGGGCAGGCUAGAGGUAGGUAGGGGAGAAUGGAAUUCCCGGUGUAGCGGUGAAAUGCGCAGAUAUCGGGAGGAACACCGGUGGCGAAGGCGGUUCUCUGGGCCUUACCUGACGCUGAGGAGCGAAAGCGUGGGGAGCGAACAGG